UAGGGAAUCUUCGGCAAUGGGCGCAAGCCUGACCGAGCAACGCCGCGUGAAUGAUGAAGGCUUUCGGGUCGUAAAAUUCUGUUAUCAGGGAAGAAAAGUCUGGACAGGAAAUGGUCUAGAUGUGACGGUACCUGAUGAGAAAGCCACGGCUAACUACGUGCCAGCAGCCGCGGUAAUACGUAGGUGGCAAGCGUUAUCCGGAAUUAUUGGGCGUAAAGAGCGCGCAGGUGGUUGAGAAAGUCUGAUGUGAAAGCCCACGGCUUAACCGUGGAGGGUCAUUGGAAACUGCUUGACUUGAGUGCAGAAGAGGGAAGUGGAAUUCCAUGUGUAGCGGUGAAAUGCGUAGAGAUAUGGAGGAACACCAGUGGCGAAGGCGGCUUCCUGGUCUGUAACUGACACUGAGGCGCGAAAGCGUGGGGAGCAAACAGGAUUAGAUACCCGCGUAGUCC
RNAcentral lists this ribosomal RNA (449 nucleotides) under uncultured bacterium. RNAcentral's name for it is "bacterial SSU rRNA". It matches the Rfam family "Bacterial small subunit ribosomal RNA", at positions 355 to 796 of the family's 1533-position model. The record is from RNAcentral.